RNAcentral lists this ribosomal RNA (2703 nucleotides) under Triticum aestivum (bread wheat). RNAcentral's name for it is "partial small subunit ribosomal RNA". Lineage: Eukaryota; Viridiplantae; Streptophyta; Magnoliopsida; Poales; Poaceae. The record is from RNAcentral.
AACGAAAGCAGAAGUGAGUGUAGUGUUCACGGCACUUGUCACCGCGAUUGGCUAUCGGUCUGUACUAGCGUGGGCUUUUUAUAGAACUCCUUCUCGGUUUGCUCGACCUGAACGUACAGGUCGUGCCUUGGUAACAUGCUGCAUGUCUGUCACCUGGCCGUUUAAUUCGGUGCAGUUGGUGGACGCGUACUGGCGGUGUCUAGAAAGGAGACGAUACGGAGGUGCCGUGUUAGUACCGGAGAGGAGGAGCGAGGGGACCGGUUAGCUCGCCUGGCACGUCACUCCUGCCGUAGGGGCAGCAGCAAAAGCGGCAGGAGGUGUUGCCGCUGUGGCCGCUUGCCAGCGUCCGCCAGGCCGUGGAGCCGGUCCGCACGGUUCUGACCCCGAAGAAGGACCACUGGUUGGUACCCCACGGGCUCCGAGAGACCUCCCGCUACUACCUGCGCACGUUCUUCGACGAGUGGGAUGGCGGCCUCGUCUUCGUCCACGUGUACCUACAGCCGGGCUACCUGGGGCACGCGGUACUAGCGCCCUUUCCGCCGCUAGCCGCCCCUUCCCGCCGCUAGCCGGCCUGCCCCGCUGUAACCUUACCCGGCGUACUAGUUGCGAUCCAGCACCCAGAAAAAAGCGCGCUGCCUUCCCCCUAGCCGAGCUCGGUACACGAGCCGAGAUGGAUAUACCCGUGCUGCGUAUACCGCGCCCUAUGCAAUUCGUGGCAUACGGGUUUUAUGGGAUCCUUGUACGCCGGUUGGUAGUAUACGAGGUAUAGCCACACGGCAACUUUACUUAUAGUUUUAGUGUAUCGGUUUGGUGGACGUUUAAUUUUUUUUAGUGUAUCGGUUUCUCUAUGAUGAUUAUUUCAUCCAUUGAACGUUUCCUAAUGUAUCAAAAAUGUUUUUUUGUUAGAUCUGUGUAAUCCUCCUUGUCUCGAUUACUAACAAGGAGAACCCCCACUGAUCCUAGGAAUGGAGUCGUUAAGUAGUUGACUGGCUCACUUUUAAGACUUGUACAGAGAACCCUUAGUAGCAUGCUCAGGGAUUUUAUUGUAAAGAAUGAGAUGGAAUUAAUCAACCAGGUAGUAGCAGUCUUUGUAGUAUGUUCGUAUACAGAGAUCCUAGGUGAAGUAGAGUCUUGGAAAACCGAGGUAUAAAGCAGCGGAUAGGUUGACAACUCCGUUCUCGAAGAUUGAAGAUAACUGUACGUUCAGCAAAACCACGAAUUACGGUCCUUCGGUAACCGUAUAACAGAAACGUACAGACAUUAGCCCUGUAGUGGUACAGAAAUCUCAUAUCCCUAAUCAGUACUUCACCGAAGCGGUCUUGCCAUGAUAGUAUUACAUUACGUCCUCGAGGGCUACGGAGACUUCGGAUGGUACGCCUUCAACACCUUCACGUAGGAUACGUGCCUUGGUACGUACCUGCUGCAUGUCUGACACACGGUCGUUUAAUUCGGUGCCGUUUGGUGGUGUCUAGAAAGGAGACGAUGCGGAGGCGCCGUGUACCGGAGAGGAGGCUCGAGGGGACCGGUUGGCUCGCCCUGCACGUCACUCCUGCGGUAGGGGCAGCAGCUGAACCGGCAGGAGCAGUUGCCGCUGCGACCCCUUGCCAGCGUCCGCCAGGUCGUGGAGCCGGCCCGCACGGUUCUGACCCCGAAGAAGUACCACUGGUUGGUACCCCACGGGCUCCGAGAGGUCUCGCGCGAUUACCUACGCACGUCACUCGACAAGUCGGAUGGCGGUCUCGUCUUCGUCCUCGUGUACCUGCGGCCGGGGUACCUGGGGCACGCGCAGCCGUGCCCGAAGUUGAGGCGGCAGCUGCCGCGGUCCAUGACCGCCCUGAUGCACUUCUACAAGCGCGUGGGACUCGAGGUGACGGGGCGGUUCGGGCUGUCGGACGCCCCGCACCGGCGCCUCAUGCGCCGCGCGUGCUCCCCGGACGACGACCUCGAGUGCCGCCGGUAGAGGCUCUCGGACCCCGAGGUGCAGCCGGCGUAGCGACUCGCGGAGCUGGACCCCAGGACGAAGGUCUAGGAGCAGCCGUUGGUGAUGGGCGGCACGCGACGACUGAGCCUGCUGCUGCUGCCCCGCUAGCCCGACGGCCGAGUGAGGCUGGUGCCGGAGGAGUGGGACGAGAAGGUCUUACCGCAGCUACCGGAGGUCCAGUUCGUGGUGCCGGCCACCGAGGAGCGUUUCGGGGAGGGGCCGAGUAAGAAGCAGUAGCGGCCGCUAGUCGACCUCUAGCACUCGUUACCUUCCAUGUUCCCACACGAGGUGGCACGUGACCAGCUGGCGCGCGUCCGCUCCUACAGCACGCACUCGGACGAGCCCGGCACGGAGCUGCGGCAGCAGCUCGGCCCCGGCCUCGACCGGCACGGUGGGGACCCGGAUCUCAAGUCCCCCCAGUUCAUGUCCCUGAUGUACCUUGUGGUCGUCUCGUUGUUCGAGUUGCUCUUCCCUCGCGACCUGGAUCAAGCCCACGUCGCAGUGUAUGUAUGAUGACUGUGCGAGACGUCAAGAAGUUAAAUGAUCCGUACUAAGGGGUCCAAUUUUGGGAGUUCAACUGGUUUUAAAGACACAGGUAUAAAAAAAAUCGUUGGCCGACCUCGAGACUGAAAAGUUAUUCUUCUCUUAACUGGUUGUUCAUGACUGUUGUCAUCGCAGAUCGAUACUGAAAAGUAAUCCUUCUUCUUUUAACUGAUUGCCGA